This 103-nucleotide microRNA precursor is filed under the name Marmota monax (woodchuck). Lineage: Eukaryota; Metazoa; Chordata; Mammalia; Rodentia; Sciuridae. The record is from RNAcentral.
AAUAGAAUUAUUGGAUCAUAUGAUUAGUAUGUUUCAUUUUUUUUAGGAAAUUGCCAAACUGUUUUUCAAAGUGGCAGUGGCAUUUUAUGUUCCCCACAAUGAU